This 450-nucleotide ribosomal RNA is filed under the name uncultured bacterium. RNAcentral describes it as "bacterial SSU rRNA". It matches the Rfam family "Bacterial small subunit ribosomal RNA", at positions 354 to 796 of the family's 1533-position model. The record is from RNAcentral.
GUGGGGAAUUUUGGACAAUGGGCGCAAGCCUGAUCCAGCAAUGCCGCGUGCAGGAAGAAGGCCUUCGGGUUGUAAACUGCUUUUGUACGGAACGAAACGGUCCGGGUUAAUACCCUGGGCUAAUGACGGUACCGUAAGAAUAAGCACCGGCUAACUACGUGCCAGCAGCCGCGGUAAUACGUAGGGUGCAAGCGUUAAUCGGAAUUACUGGGCGUAAAGCGUGCGCAGGCGGUUUUGUAAGACAGGCGUGAAAUCCCCGGGCUCAACCUGGGAAUUGCGCUUGUGACUGCAAGGCUGGAGUUCGGCAGAGGGGGAUGGAAUUCCGCGUGUAGCAGUGAAAUGCGUAGAUAUGCGGAGGAACACCGAUGGCGAAGGCAAUCCCCUGGGCCUGCACUGACGCUCAUGCACGAAAGCGUGGGGAGCAAACAGGAUUAGAAACCCGUGUAGUCC